UCAAGAAACUUAAAGGAAGUUACGACGGGGGCCCGCACAAGCGGAGGAGCAUGUGGUUUAAUUCGAUGAUACGCGAGGAACCUUACCUGGGCUCGAACGUAAGAUGACUGUAGGUGAAAGCUUACAUCUCUUCGGAGCAUUUUACGAGGUGCUGCAUGGUUGUCGUCAGCUCGUGCCGUGAGGUGUCGGGUUAAGUCCCAUAACGAGCGCAACCCUACCUUUAGUUGCCAUCAGGUAAUGCUGGGGACUCUAAAGGAACUGCCUACGCAAGUAGUGAGGAAGGCGGGGAUGACGUCAAAUCAGCACGGCCCUUACGUCCAGGGCUACACACGUGCUACAAUGGCCGAUACAGAGGGCAGCUACCUGGUGACAGGAUGCAAAUCUCCAAAGUCGGUCUCAGUUCGGAUCGGAGUCUGCAACCCGACUCCGUGAAGUUGGAUUCGCUAGUAAUCGCGCAUCAGCCAUGGCGCGGUGAAUACGUUCCCGGGCCUU
Molecule: ribosomal RNA, 492 nt
Filed under: uncultured Sphingobacteriales bacterium
Lineage: Bacteria; Pseudomonadati; Bacteroidota; Sphingobacteriia; Sphingobacteriales
Description: bacterial SSU rRNA
Rfam family: Bacterial small subunit ribosomal RNA
Source: RNAcentral